RNAcentral lists this ribosomal RNA (1442 nucleotides) under uncultured bacterium. RNAcentral describes it as "bacterial SSU rRNA". It matches the Rfam family "Bacterial small subunit ribosomal RNA". The record is from RNAcentral.
AGAGUUUGAUCAUGGCUCAGGAUGAACGCUGGCGGCGUGCUUAACACAUGCAAGUCGAACGAACCUUCGGGUUAGUGGCGGACGGGUGAGUAACGCGUGGGAACCUGCCCUCAGGAGGGGGAUAACGGCUGGAAACGGCCGCUAAUACCCCAUAUGCCGAGAGGUGAAAAGAAAUUCGCCUGAGGAUGGGCCCGCGUCUGAUUAGCUAGUUGGUGGGGUAAGAGCCUACCAAGGCGACGAUCAGUAGCUGGUCUGAGAGGAUGAUCAGCCACACUGGGACUGAGACACGGCCCAGACUCCUACGGGAGGCAGCAGUGGGGAAUUUUCCGCAAUGGGCGAAAGCCUGACGGAGCAACGCCGCGUGAGGGAUGAAGGCCUCUGGGCUGUAAACCUCUUUUCUCAAGGAAGAAGAACUGACGGUACUUGAGGAAUAAGCCACGGCUAAUUCCGUGCCAGCAGCCGCGGUAAUACGGGAGUGGCAAGCGUUAUCCGGAAUUAUUGGGCGUAAAGCGUCCGCAGGCGGCCUUGUAAGUCUGUCGUUAAAGCGUGGAGCUUAACUCCAUUUGAGCGAUGGAAACUACAAGGCUUGAGUGUGGUAGGGGCAGAGGGAAUUCCCGGUGUAGCGGUGAAAUGCGUAGAUAUCGGGAAGGACACCAGUGGCGAAGGCGCUCUGCUGGGCCAUAACUGACGCUCAUGGACGAAAGCCAGGGGAGCGAAAGGGAUUAGAUACCCCUGUAGUCCUGGCCGUAAACGAUGAACACUAGGUGUUGGGGGAUCGACCCCCUCGGUGUCGUAGCCAACGCGUUAAGUGUUCCGCCUGGGGAGUACGCACGCAAGUGUGAACUCAAAGGAUUGACGGGGCCCGCACAAGCGGUGGAGUAUGUGGUUUAAUUCGAUGCAACGCGAAGAACCUUACCAGGGUUUGACAUCCUGCGAACCUCUGAGAAAUCGGGGGGUGCCUUCGGGAACGCAGAGACAGGUGGUGCAUGGCUGUCGUCAGCUCGUGUCGUGAGAUGUUGGGUUAAGUCCCGCAACGAGCGCAACCCACGUCUUUAGUUGCCAGCAUUCAGUUGGGCACUCUAGAGAGACCGCCGGUGAUAAACCGGAGGAAGGUGUGGAUGACGUCAAGUCAUCAUGCCCCUUACAUCCUGGGCUACACACGUACUACAAUGCUACGGACAAAGGGCAGCAAGCUCGCGAGAGUAAGCAAAUCCCAUAAACCGUGGCUCAGUUCAGAUCGUAGGCUGCAACUCGCCUACGUGAAGGAGGAAUCGCUAGUAAUCGCAGGUCAGCAUACUGCGGUGAAUACGUUCCCGGGCCUUGUACACACCGCCCGUCACACCAUGGAAGUUGGCCACGCCCGAAGUCGUUACUCCAACCCUUGUGGAGGAGGACGCCGAAGGUGGGGCUGAUGACUGGGGUGAAGUCGUAACAAGGUAACC